RNAcentral lists this ribosomal RNA (2674 nucleotides) under Spyridia dasyoides. RNAcentral describes it as "LSU rRNA". It matches the Rfam family "Eukaryotic large subunit ribosomal RNA", at positions 57 to 2877 of the family's 3401-position model. The record is from RNAcentral. Lineage: Eukaryota; Rhodophyta; Florideophyceae; Ceramiales; Spyridiaceae.
AAAAGAAACUAACCAGGAUUCCCCUAGUAGCGGCGAGCGAAGCGGGAACAGCCCAAUAUGAAAAGCCUUCGGGCGUUGUAGUUGAGCGAUCUUGAGGCGUCAGUUCAGGAAAGUGGCAUGGAAAUGUCUACCGUGGAGGGUGAGAGUCCCGUCCAUCCUGGACAGGACGUCCUCGUACGAGGUCGUUUCAGUCGAGUCGGGUAGCUUGGGAAUGCUGCUCUAAUCGGUGGUAAAUCUCAUCGAAGGCUAAAUACUGGUGGGAGACCGAUAGCGAACAAGUACCGUGAGGGAAAGGUCAAAAGCACUUUGAAAAGAGGGUGAAAAGAACCUGAAACCGUUACGGGGGAAGCGGAUUGCGUUGGAUUGAUGGGUGUCUGUGUGCUCAGCCGAUUUCGGUGUAUUCAUGCAGAUGCUUACCUGCCGUGGGUUUCCGUGUAGUCGAAUUUGGGCUACCGGAGGCUGAGGGAUCCCUUUAUGGUGAGGACGGCAGGGUGACGACGCGAUACGACCCGUCUUGAAACACGGACCAAGGAGUCUAGCACAUCUGCGAGUCGUAGGGUGGAGAAACCUGAGGGCGCAGUGAAAGCGAGUUUUAAAAACGAGCAGUUUGAGGCGGCAUACUUUCGUUGAUUGUAGGUCCGACCUAGAGCAAAUGUGCUGGGACCCGAAAGAUGGUGAACUAUACCGGAGUAGGGCGAAGCCAGAGGAAACUCUGGUGGAGGCUCGUAGCGGUGCUGACGUGCAAAUCGCUCGUCGAACUUGGGUAUAGGGGCGAAAGACUAAUCGAACCAUCUAGUAGCUGGUUCCCUCCGAAGUUUCUCUCAGGAUAGCAGGCCGACAGACGUUGUUAUGUGCGGUAAAGCGAAUGAUUAGCGUAAUUGGGGGCGCUUAGCCUUCGGACGAUUCUCAAACUUUAAAUGCGCAAGGGAGUUGCUGCUUAAUUGAGCUUCUCCUUCAAAAACGUCGGCCUUGUGGGCCACUUUUGGUAAGCAGAACUGGCGAUACGGGAUGAACCGUAAGCGUGGUUAAGGCGCCAAAGUAUCCGCUUAUAGAACCCAAAAAAGGUGUUGAUUCAUCGAGACAGCAGGACGGUGGCCAUGGAAGUCGGAAUCCGCUAAGGAGUGUGUAACAACUCACCUGCCGAAUGAAUUAGCCCUGAAAAUGGAUGGCGCUGAAGCGGAUCGCCGACACCACGCCGUCUGGGCAAAGUGGUUUCCAGAUGAGUAGGAGGGCGUGGCGGUUGUAUCGAAGCGUGGAUGCGAAUCUGCGUGGAACAGCCGCUAGUGCAGAUCUUGGUGGUAGUAGCAAAUAUUCAAGCGAGAUCCUUGAAGGGCGAAGCGGGGAAGGGUUCCACGCGAACAUUGAUUGGGCGUGGGUGAGUCGUUCCUAAGCCGCGUGGCAAUGGCUAAUUAUCGGCGAAAGGGAAGCGGGUUGACAUUCCCGCACACGGAUGUGGAGACGGUGACGAUUAAUGAGGCGAUCACGCUGGCGAUGGCGCUGGGCAGAGUUGUCUUUUCUGUUUGACCAUCGACUCGCUGUGUGGAAUCCGCUUGUCGGGAGAAACACGCGGGUCCGGGCAGAGCGCCGGGGCUUUUCCGGCGUCCAGCUCGCCAUCGACGGCCCUUGAAAAAUUGCCUGCUGGACAACCUCGUGUUGUAAAAUCCACGCCGUGGCGUACCGAUAACCGCAUCAGGUCCCCAAGGUGAACAGCCUCUGCUCAGUAUGAACAAUGCAGGUAAGGGAAGUCGGCAAAUUGGACCCGUAACUUUGGGAAAAGGGUUGGCUCUAGUGCUGCGUGGGAGUAGUUGUCGGCUGCCGGCGCUGUUGGAGGUGCGUGUGCGGCGCGUCUCGCAAGAGAUGUGCUGCACUGCGCUUCCGAUGGUGCUGCUCCGACGACGCCCACAGCAUGCAGCAAACUAGAACUGCAACGGGCAAAGGGAAUCCGACUGUUUAAUUAAAACAAAGCAUUGCGAAGGCCGUGGCCGGUGUUGACGCAAUGUGAUUUCUGCUCAGUGCUCUGAAUGUCAAAGUGAAGAGAUUCAAUCAAGCGCGGGUAAACAGCGGGAGUAACUAUGACUCUCUUAAGGUAGCCAAAUGCCUCGUCAUCUAAUUAGUGACGCGCAUGAAUGGAUUAACGAGAUUCCUACUGUCCCUAUCUGCUUCUAGCGAAACCACAGCCGAGGGAACGGGCUCGGCGAAAUCGGCGGGGAAAGAAGACCCUGUUGAGCUUGACUCUAUUCUAAUUUUGUGAAGCAAGUUGGGAGGUGUAGCAUAGGUGGGAGUGCUUGCACGUCCGUGAAAUACCACUACUCCCAGUCUUGCUUUACUUACUGGGUUGGUGUGGGUGGGUCUUACGACCCUUUUCUUAGAACCAACGUUCUGCGGACCACAGCCCAGCACACAUUUAGGAGGGGAGUUUGGCUGGGGCGGCACAUCUUCUACAAGACAACGAAGGUGUCCAAAGAUAAGCUCAGUGAGAACAGAAAUCUCACGUAGCGCAAAAGGGUAAAAGCUUGUUUGAUUUUGAUUUCCAGUGCGAGUCGAAAACGCUAAAGCGUGGCCUAUCGAUCCUUUCACGAUUCGAGAUUUGAAGCGAGAGGUGUCAGAAAAGUUACCACAGGGAUAACUGGCUUGUGGCGGCCAAGCGUUCAUAGCGACGUCGCUUUUUGAUCCU